RNAcentral lists this ribosomal RNA (301 nucleotides) under uncultured bacterium. RNAcentral describes it as "partial 16S ribosomal RNA". It matches the Rfam family "Bacterial small subunit ribosomal RNA", at positions 509 to 808 of the family's 1533-position model. The record is from RNAcentral.
CAGCCGCCGCGGUAAUACGUAGGUGGCAAGCGUUGUCCGGAAUUAUUGGGCGUAAAGCGAGCGCAGGCGGUUAGAUAAGUCUGAAGUUAAAGGCUGUGGCUUAACCAUAGUACGCUUUGGAAACUGUUUAACUUGAGUGCAAGAGGGGAGAGUGGAAUUCCAUGUGUAGCGGUGAAAUGCGUAGAUAUAUGGAGGAACACCGGUGGCGAAAGCGGCUCUCUGGCUUGUAACUGACGCUGAGGCUCGAAAGCGUGGGGAGCAAACAGGAUUAGAUACCCGCGUAGUCCCUGUCUCUUAUACA